UAGAGUUUGAUCAUGGCUCAGGACGAACGCUGGCGGCGUGCCUAAUACAUGCAAGUCGAACGAACUCUGGUAUUGAUUGGUGCUUGCAUCAUGAUUUACAUUUGAGUGAGUGGCGAACUGGUGAGUAACACGUGGGAAACCUGCCCAGAAGCGGGGGAUAACACCUGGAAACAGAUGCUAAUACCGCAUAACAACUUGGACCGCAUGGUCCGAGUUUGAAAGAUGGCUUCGGCUAUCACUUUUGGAUGGUCCCGCGGCGUAUUAGCUAGAUGGUGGGGUAACGGCUCACCAUGGCAAUGAUACGUAGCCGACCUGAGAGGGUAAUCGGCCACAUUGGGACUGAGACACGGCCCAAACUCCUACGGGAGGCAGCAGUAGGGAAUCUUCCACAAUGGACGAAAGUCUGAUGGAGCAACGCCGCGUGAGUGAAGAAGGGUUUCGGCUCGUAAAACUCUGUUGUUAAAGAAGAACAUAUCUGAGAGUAACUGUUCAGGUAUUGACGGUAUUUAACCAGAAAGCCACGGCUAACUACGUGCCAGCAGCCGCGGUAAUACGUAGGUGGCAAGCGUUGUCCGGAUUUAUUGGGCGUAAAGCGAGCGCAGGCGGUUUUUUAAGUCUGAUGUGAAAGCCUUCGGCUCAACCGAAGAAGUGCAUCGGAAACUGGGAAACUUGAGUGCAGAAGAGGACAGUGGAACUCCAUGUGUAGCGGUGAAAUGCGUAGAUAUAUGGAAGAACACCAGUGGCGAAGGCGGCUGUCUGGUCUGUAACUGACGCUGAGGCUCGAAAGUAUGGGUAGCAAACAGGAUUAGAUACCCUGGUAGUCCAUACCGUAAACGAUGAAUGCUAAGUGUUGGAGGGUUUCCGCCCUUCAGUGCUGCAGCUAACGCAUUAAGCAUUCCGCCUGGGGAGUACGGCCGCAAGGCUGAAACUCAAAGGAAUUGACGGGGGCCCGCACAAGCGGUGGAGCAUGUGGUUUAAUUCGAAGCUACGCGAAGAACCUUACCAGGUCUUGACAUACUAUGCAAAUCUAAGAGAUUAGACGUUCCCUUCGGGGACAUGGAUACAGGUGGUGCAUGGUUGUCGUCAGCUCGUGUCGUGAGAUGUUGGGUUAAGUCCCGCAACGAGCGCAACCCUUAUUAUCAGUUGCCAGCAUUAAGUUGGGCACUCUGGUGAGACUGCCGGUGACAAACCGGAGGAAGGUGGGGAUGACGUCAAAUCAUCAUGCCCCUUAUGACCUGGGCUACACACGUGCUACAAUGGAUGGUACAACGAGUUGCGAACUCGCGAGAGUAAGCUAAUCUCUUAAAGCCAUUCUCAGUUCGGGAUUGUAGGCUGCAACUCGCCUACAUGAAGUCGGAAUCGCUAGUAAUCGCGGAUCAGCAUGCCGCGGUGAAUACGUUCCCGGGCCUUGUACACACCGCCCGUCACACCAUGAGAGUUUGUAACACCCAAAGUCGGUGGGGUAACCUUUUAGGAACCAGCCGCCUAAGGUGGGACAGAUGAUUAGGGUGAAGUCGUAACAAGGUAGCCGUA
Molecule: ribosomal RNA, 1533 nt
Filed under: Lactiplantibacillus pentosus
Lineage: Bacteria; Bacillati; Bacillota; Bacilli; Lactobacillales; Lactobacillaceae
Description: Lactobacillus pentosus partial 16S rRNA
Rfam family: Bacterial small subunit ribosomal RNA
Source: RNAcentral